AAGCAAAAUGGGAUGCAAAUAAAUAUAAUAAUAAAAUUUGAGACCUCAUCUUAGCUUAG
RNAcentral lists this microRNA precursor (59 nucleotides) under Strongyloides ratti. RNAcentral's name for it is "microRNA str-mir-8388 precursor". The record is from miRBase by way of RNAcentral. Lineage: Eukaryota; Metazoa; Nematoda; Chromadorea; Rhabditida; Strongyloididae.